RNAcentral lists this ribosomal RNA (589 nucleotides) under uncultured bacterium. RNAcentral's name for it is "partial 16S ribosomal RNA". It matches the Rfam family "Bacterial small subunit ribosomal RNA", at positions 355 to 1375 of the family's 1533-position model. The record is from RNAcentral.
UGGGGAAUUUUGGACAAUGGGCGAAAGCCUGAUCCAGCAAUGCCGCGUGUGUGAAGAAGGCCUUCGGGUUGUAAAGCACUUUUGUCCGGAAAGAAAUCCUUGGCUCUAAUACAGUCGGGGGAUGACGGUACCGGAAGAAUAAGCACCGGCUAACUACGUGCCAGCAGCCGCGGUAAUACGUAGGGUGCAAGCGUUAAUCGGAAUUACUGGGCGUAAAGCGUGCGCAGGCGGUUUGCUAAGACCGAUGUGAAAUCCCCGGGCUCAACCUGGGAACUGCAUUGGUGACUGGCAGGCUAGAGUAUGGCAGAGGGGGGUAGAAUUCCACGUGUAGCAGUGAAAAUGCGUAGAGAUGUGGAGGAAUACCGAUGGCGAAAGGCAGCCCCCUGGGCAAUACUGACGCUCAUGCACGAAAAGCGUGGGGAGCAAACAGGAUUAGAUACCCUGGUAGUCCACGCCCUAAAACGAUGUCAACUAGUUGUUGGGGAUUCAUUUCCUUAGUAACGUAGCUAACGCGUGAAGUUGACCGCCUGGGGAGUACGGUCGCAAGAUUAAAAACUUAAAGGAAUUGACGGGGUCAUAGCUGUUUCCU